UCACAAAAGUCUUCGACAGUCCUCUUCUUGGACGACAGGAUCACAGGGUCCUCAUAAUCAGGAUUCAUGCCUUUUGGCUUCGUAUAAAUACGAGUCAGAUUAAGAUACUCCCAUAUCUUCUCAAGCAGGCCAUCAAGGUUCCAUUCCAGGUGCGCACUCACUGGACAGUAGUGAGGAAGCUUGUCUAGAAUCUCCAGCUCUUCGAUUGUGAUCUGAUCGAUCUUGUUCACGACAUAGAUGCAUG
RNAcentral lists this unclassified non-coding RNA (244 nucleotides) under Hevea brasiliensis (rubber tree). The record is from RNAcentral. Lineage: Eukaryota; Viridiplantae; Streptophyta; Magnoliopsida; Malpighiales; Euphorbiaceae.